UCCCUAGCUGGUUUGAGAGGAUGAUCAGCCACACUGGGAAUGAGACACGGCCCCAGAUCCUACGGGAGGCAGCAGUGGGGAAUAUUGCACAAUGGGCGCAAGCCUGAUGCAGCCAUGCCGCGUGUGUGAAGAAGCCCUUCGGGUUGUAAAGCACUUUCAGUCAGGAGGAAAGGUUAGUAGUUAAUACCUGCUAGCUGUGACGUUACUGACAGAAGAAGCACCGGCUAACUCCGUGCCAGCAGCCGCGGUAAUACGGAGGGUGCGAGCGUUAAUCGGAAUUACUGGGCGUAAAGCGUACGCAGGCGGUUUGUUAAGCGAGAUGUGAAAGCCCCGGGCUCAACCUGGGAACUGCAUUUCGAACUGGCAAACUAGAGUGUGAUAGAGGGUGGUAGAAUUUCAGGUGUAGCGGUGAAAUGCGUAGAGAUCUGAAGGAAUACCGAUGGCGAAGGCAGCCACCUGGGUCAACACUGACGCUCAUGUACGAAAGCGUGGGGAGCAAACAGGAUUAGAUACCCUGGUAGUCCACGCCGUAAACGAUGUCUACUAGAAGCUCGGAGCCUCGGCUCUGUUUUUCAAAGCUAACGCAUUAAGUAGACCGCCUGGGGAGUACGGCCGCAAGGUUAAAACUCAAAUGAAUUGACGGGGGCCCGCACAAGCGGUGGAGCAUGUGGUUUAAUUCGAUGCAACGCGAAGAACCUUACCUACACUUGACAUACAGAGAACUUACCAGAGAUGGUUUGGUGCCUUCGGGAACUCUGAUACAGGUGCUGCAUGGCUGUCGUCAGCUCGUGU
RNAcentral lists this ribosomal RNA (792 nucleotides) under Pseudoalteromonas sp. V4.BE.46. Its description in RNAcentral is "bacterial SSU rRNA". It matches the Rfam family "Bacterial small subunit ribosomal RNA", at positions 280 to 1065 of the family's 1533-position model. The record is from RNAcentral. Lineage: Bacteria; Pseudomonadati; Pseudomonadota; Gammaproteobacteria; Alteromonadales; Pseudoalteromonadaceae.